AUUGCUUUUUCAUGCAUCAUUGUUAGCAUGUUGACUCCUCUUCUAGACCGCCAGUUCCUUGAGAAGAGAGAUUGUUUCUGACCAUCCUUCCUGGCCUCAGCAGAAACAUUUAUUGUGAUCAUAAUGGAAAGCCAACCAAACAGACCCAUCUAUGAACUGGCAUAGGUUGAUCUCCCUGCAGGCUGUGGAGUAUUUGCAAGGUGAAAGAGAAUGCAGAUGGCCAGGCCUUGUGCAUUUUAAAAGUUCAGAAGCUCUAGCCACUUACAGGAAAUCUGGGGCCUGGGGUCCAGGCUGGGCUAUGCUUAAAAGCAAAAAGAGAGAGAGAGAGAGAGAGAGAGAGAGAGAGAGAGAGAGAGAGAGAGAGAGAGAGAGAGAGAGAGAGAGAGAGAGAGUCUUCCAUUGUUCAGUGAGAGAUUUGUAAAUAAAUUUUGUGGAUCAAAU
Molecule: long non-coding RNA, 441 nt
Filed under: Monodelphis domestica (gray short-tailed opossum)
Lineage: Eukaryota; Metazoa; Chordata; Mammalia; Didelphimorphia; Didelphidae
Description: lncRNA (ENSMODG00000048625.1)
Source: RNAcentral